CCUACGGGUGGCAGCAGUCGAGAAUCAUUCACAAUGGGGGAAACCCUGAUGGUGCGACGCCGCGUGGGGGAAUGAAGGUCUUCGGAUUGUAAACCCCUGUCAUGUGGGAGCAAAUUAAAAAGAUAGUACCACAAGAGGAAGAGACGGCUAACUCUGUGCCAGCAGCCGCGGUAAUACAGAGGUCUCAAGCGUUGUUCGGAAUCACUGGGCGUAAGGCGUGCGUAGGCUGUUUCGUAAGUCGGGUGUGAAAGGCGCGGGCUCAACCCGCGGACGGCACAUGAUACUGCGAGACUGGAGUAAUGGAGGGGGAACCGGAAUUCUCGGUGUAGCAGGGAAAUGCGUAGAUAUCGAGAGGAACACUCGUGGCGAAGGCGGGUUCCUGGACAUUAACUGACGCUGAGGCACGAAGGCCAGGGGAGCGAAAGGGAUUAGAUACCCUAGUAGUC
Molecule: ribosomal RNA, 446 nt
Filed under: uncultured bacterium
Lineage: Bacteria
Description: partial 16S ribosomal RNA
Rfam family: Bacterial small subunit ribosomal RNA
Source: RNAcentral